GACGAACGCUGGCGGCGUGCUUAACACAUGCAAGUCGAACGGUGACGAGGAGCUUGCUCCUCUGAUCAGUGGCGAACGGGUGAGUAACACGUGAGCAACCUGCCCCAGACUCUGGGAUAACAGUUGGAAACAGCUGCUAAUACCGGAUACGAGACGGAGAGGCAUCUCUACCGUCUGGAAAGUUUUUCGGUCUGGGAUGGACUCGCGGCCUAUCAGCUAGUUGGUGAGGUAAUGGCUCACCAAGGCGACGACGGGUAGCCGGCCUGAGAGGGCGACCGGCCACACUGGGACUGAGACACGGCCCAGACUCCUACGGGAGGCAGCAGUAGGGAAUAUUGGACAAUGGGCGGAAGCCUGAUCCAGCCAUGCCGCGUGGAGGAUUAAGGCCCUCUGGGUUGUAAACUCCUUUUAUCUGGGAAGAACCAUUCCGACUUGUCGGAACAUGACGGUACCAGAGGAAUAAGCACCGGCUAACUCCGUGCCAGCAGCCGCGGUAAU
RNAcentral lists this ribosomal RNA (498 nucleotides) under uncultured bacterium. Its description in RNAcentral is "bacterial SSU rRNA". It matches the Rfam family "Bacterial small subunit ribosomal RNA", at positions 28 to 524 of the family's 1533-position model. The record is from RNAcentral.